Molecule: ribosomal RNA, 1489 nt
Filed under: uncultured bacterium
Lineage: Bacteria
Description: bacterial SSU rRNA
Rfam family: Bacterial small subunit ribosomal RNA
Source: RNAcentral
AGAGUUUGAUCCUGGCUCAGGAUGAACGCUGGCGGCGUGCUUAACACAUGCAAGUCGAACGGGAUCCAUCAGGCUUUGCUUGGUGGUGAGAGUGGCGAACGGGUGAGUAAUGCGUGACCGACCUGCCCCAUACACCGGAAUAGCUCCUGGAAACGGGUGGUAAUGCCGGAUGCUCCGACUCCUCGCAUGGGGUGUCGGGAAAGAUUUCAUCGGUAUGGGAUGGGGUCGCGUCCUAUCAGGUAGUCGGCGGGGUAACGGCCCACCGAGCCUACGACGGGUAGCCGGCCUGAGAGGGCGACCGGCCACAUUGGGACUGAGAUACGGCCCAGACUCCUACGGGAGGCAGCAGUGGGGAAUAUUGCACAAUGGGCGCAAGCCUGAUGCAGCGACGCCGCGUGCGGGAUGACGGCCUUCGGGUUGUAAACCGCUUUUGAUCGGGAGCAAGCCUUCGGGUGAGUGUACCUUUCGAAUAAGCACCGGCUAACUACGUGCCAGCAGCCGCGGUAAUACGUAGGGUGCAAGCGUUAUCCGGAAUUAUUGGGCGUAAAGGGCUCGUAGGCGGUUCGUCGCGUCCGGUGUGAAAGUCCAUCGCUUAACGGUGGAUCUGCGCCGGGUACGGGCGGGCUGGAGUGCGGUAGGGGAGACUGGAAUUCCCGGUGUAACGGUGGAAUGUGUAGAUAUCGGGAAGAACACCAAUGGCGAAAGCAGGUCUCUGGGCCGUUACUGACGCUGAGGAGCGAAAGCGUGGGGAGCGAACAGGAUUAGAUACCCUGGUAGUCCACGCCGUAAACGGUGGAUGCUGGAUGUGGGGCCCGUUCCACGGGUUCCGUGUCGGAGCUAACGCGUUAAGCAUCCCGCCUGGGGAGUACGGCCGCAAGGCUAAAACUCAAAGAAAUUGACGGGGGCCCGCACAAGCGGCGGAGCAUGCGGAUUAAUUCGAUGCAACGCGAAGAACCUUACCUGGGCUUGACAUGUUCCCGACAGCCGUAGAGAUAUGGCCUCCCUUCGGGGCGGGUUCACAGGUGGUGCAUGGUCGUCGUCAGCUCGUGUCGUGAGAUGUUGGGUUAAGUCCCGCAACGAGCGCAACCCUCGCCCUGUGUUGCCAGCACGUCAUGGUGGGAACUCACGGGGGACCGCCGGGGUCAACUCGGAGGAAGGUGGGGAUGACGUCAGAUCAUCAUGCCCCUUACGUCCAGGGCUUCACGCAUGCUACAAUGGCCGGUACAACGGGAUGCGACACGGCGACGUGGAGCGGAUCCCUGAAAACCGGUCUCAGUUCGGAUUGGAGUCUGCAACCCGACUCCAUGAAGGCGGAGUCGCUAGUAAUCGCGGAUCAGCAACGCCGCGGUGAAUGCGUUCCCGGGCCUUGUACACACCGCCCGUCAAGUCAUGAAAGUGGGUAGCACCCGAAGCCGGUGGCCUAACCCUUUGUGGAUGGAGCCGUCUAAGGUGAGACUCGUGAUUGGGACUAAGUCGUAACAAGGUAGCC